UCGAGAAUAUUUAGCAAUGGACGAAAGUCUGACUAUGCGACGCCGCGUGCAGGAUGAAGGUCUUCGGAUUGUAAACUGCUUUUAUUAGGGGAGAAACCUGUAUGGUUAAUAGUCAUACAGCUGACGGUACCUGAUGAAUAAGCCACGGCAAACUCUGUGCCAGCAGCCGCGGUAAUACAGAGGUGGCAAGCGUUACUCGGAAUUAUUGGGUGUAAAGGGCAGGUAGGUGGUCUGAUAAGUGAGGGGUGAAAUCCUGCGGUUUAAUCGCAGAACAGCCUUUCAAACUGCCAGACUUGAGAGAAACAGAGGAAGAUGGAAUUCCCGGUGUAAGGGUGAAAUCUGUAGAUAUCGGGAAGAACACCAACGGCGAAGGCAAUCUUCUGGGUUUUUUCUGACACUGAGCUGCGAAAGCUAGGGGAGCAAACA
Molecule: ribosomal RNA, 426 nt
Filed under: uncultured prokaryote
Description: bacterial SSU rRNA
Rfam family: Bacterial small subunit ribosomal RNA
Source: RNAcentral